CCUACGGGAGGCAGCAGUGGGGAAUAUUGCGCAAUGGGCGAAAGCCUGACGCAGCCACGCCGCGUGGGUGAUGAAGGCCUUCGGGUUGUAAAGCCCUGUCGUAGGGGAAGAACGCAAUGACGGUACCCUACAAGAAAGCACCGGCCAACUCCGUGCCAGCAGCCGCGGUAAUACGGAGGGUGCAAGCGUUGCUCGGAAUCACUGGGCGUAAAGCGUACGCAGGCGGAUCGUUAAGUCGGGUGUGAAAGCCCGGGGCUCAACCCCGGAAUUGCAUUCGAAACUGGCGGUCUUGAGUACGGGAGAGGGAGGUGGAAUUCCUGGUGUAGAGGUGAAAUUCGUAGAUAUCAGGAGGAACACCGGUGGCGAAAGCGGCCUCCUGGCCCGAUACUGACGCUCAUGUACGAGAGCGUGGGGAGCAAACAGGAUUAGAUACCCUGGUAGUCCACGCUGUAAACGAUGAGUGCUAGCUGGUGGGAAUGUUUACCGUCUCGCUGGCGAAGCUAACGCAUUAAGCACUCCGCCUGGGAAGUACGGCCGCAAGGCUAAAACUUAAAGGAAUUGACGG
Molecule: ribosomal RNA, 565 nt
Filed under: uncultured bacterium
Lineage: Bacteria
Description: bacterial SSU rRNA
Rfam family: Bacterial small subunit ribosomal RNA
Source: RNAcentral